Molecule: ribosomal RNA, 253 nt
Filed under: uncultured bacterium
Lineage: Bacteria
Description: partial 16S ribosomal RNA
Rfam family: Bacterial small subunit ribosomal RNA
Source: RNAcentral
UACGGAGGAUGCAAGCGUUAUCCGGAAUGAUUGGGCGUAAAGCGUCCGCAGGUGGCUGUGUAAGUCUGCUGUUAAAGAGUGAGGCUCAACCUCAUAAAGGCAGUGGGAACUACAUGGCUAGAGUGCGUUCGGGGCAGAGGGAAUUCCUGGUGUAGCGGUGAAAUGCGUAGAGAUCAGGAAGAACACCGGUGGCGAAAGCGCUCUGCUAGGCCGCAACUGACACUGAGGGACGAAAGCUAGGGGAGCGAAUGGG